Molecule: long non-coding RNA, 204 nt
Organism: Coccinella septempunctata (seven-spotted ladybird)
Lineage: Eukaryota; Metazoa; Arthropoda; Insecta; Coleoptera; Coccinellidae
Exons: 2
Source: RefSeq, a predicted model, not a curated record
CACAUUCUGAAAGGGUAAAAUAAGGUCAAAUACAAAUUUAAACAAAAAUAUGGUGUAUUUUGUGACAGCAAGUGAAUCAGUUUAAAAAAUGCAGCCAUAGUGAAUAAUCACAGUAUUCAGACGUGAAUAUCGAUCAACAUAGUAAUCAGACUGGGGCGAUAAACCUAUCAUCAUGUAUAAGAUUAAAAUAAGAAUGAAAAAUAA